AGAAUCAACGCUGGCGGCGUGCCUAACACAUGCAAGUCGAACGAGAAAGUGGAGCAAUCCAUUAGUAAAGUGGCGCACGGGUGAGUAACACGUGACUAACCUACCCUUGAGUGGGGGAUAACCUAGGGAAACCUGGGCUAAUACCGCAUAAUACCUUCGGGUCAAAGGAGCAAUUCGCUUAAGGAGGGGUCGCGGCCGAUUAGUUAGUUGGCGGGGUAAUGGCCCACCAAGACGAUGAUCGGUAUCC
Molecule: ribosomal RNA, 247 nt
Filed under: uncultured bacterium
Lineage: Bacteria
Description: partial small subunit ribosomal RNA
Rfam family: Bacterial small subunit ribosomal RNA
Source: RNAcentral